RNAcentral lists this ribosomal RNA (187 nucleotides) under Myxoderma platyacanthum. RNAcentral describes it as "partial 28S ribosomal RNA". It matches the Rfam family "Eukaryotic large subunit ribosomal RNA", at positions 86 to 343 of the family's 3401-position model. The record is from RNAcentral. Lineage: Eukaryota; Metazoa; Echinodermata; Asteroidea; Forcipulatida; Zoroasteridae.
GCGGCGAGCGAAGCGGGAAGAGCCCAGCGCCGAAUCCCCGGGCCCCUCCGAGGGCCCGCGGGAACUGUGGCGUAAGGAAGUCGACCGCGGACCAGGGCUUCCGGGAGUCGGUUUGUUUUGUAGCGCAGCCCAAAGGCGGGUGGUAAACUCCAUCCAAGGCUAAAUACCUGCACGAGACCGAUAGAGC